This 551-nucleotide non-coding RNA is filed under the name Trichomonas vaginalis G3. Its description in RNAcentral is "Eukaryotic small subunit ribosomal RNA". It matches the Rfam family "Eukaryotic small subunit ribosomal RNA", at positions 1 to 631 of the family's 1831-position model. Lineage: Eukaryota; Parabasalia; Trichomonadida; Trichomonadidae. The record is from Rfam by way of RNAcentral.
UACUUGGUUGAUCCUGCCAAGGAAGCACACUUAGGUCAUAGAUUAAGCCAUGCAAGUGUUAGUUCAGGUAACGAAACUGCGAAUAGCUCAUUAAUACGCUCAGAAUCUAUUUGGCGGCGACCAACAGGUCUUAAAUGGAUAGCAGCAGCAACUCUGGUGCUAAUACAUGCGAUUGUUUCUCCAGAUGUGAAUUAUGGAGGAAAAGUUGACCUCAUCAGAGGCACGCCAUUCGACUGAGUGACCUAUCAGCUUGUACUUAGGGUCUUUACCUAGGUAGGCUAUCACGGGUAACGGGCGGUUACCGUCGGACUGCCGGAGAAGGCGCCUGAGAGAUAGCGACUAUAUCCACGGGUAGCAGCAGGCGCGAAACUUUCCCACUCGAGACUUUCGGAGGAGGUAAUGACCAGUUCCAUUGGUGCCUUUUGGUACUGUGGAUAGGGGUACGGUUUUCCACCGUACCGAAACCUAGCAGAGGGCCAGUCUGGUGCCAGCAGCUGCGGUAAUUCCAGCUCUGCGAGUUGCUCCCAUAUUGUAGCAGUUAAAACGCCCGU